Molecule: long non-coding RNA, 1238 nt
Filed under: Volvox carteri
Lineage: Eukaryota; Viridiplantae; Chlorophyta; Chlorophyceae; Chlamydomonadales; Volvocaceae
Description: long non-coding RNA (VCAR_LNC001926)
Source: RNAcentral
GACUGCAGGUCACCGUGGGGGAGCAGCGCGAGGUGCUGAUGGCGGUGGCCGCGGCCGAAUGCAGGGGCACUGACCCGGUUGCCUGGUUGAGCAGCCAUGUCUUCAUGUGCGUGUCUGAUGUGUGUGUCUGAUGUGUGUGUGUGUGUGUGUGUCUGAUGUGUGUGUGUGUGUGUGUGUGUCUGAUGGGUGUGUGUGUGUCUGAUGGAUGUGUGUGUGUCUGAUGGAUGUGUGUGUCUGCUGUGUAUGUUUUAUGAAUUUAUGUGUGUUGCUGAUGUGUGUGCGCGUGCGACUUCCUAAGCAUGGUGUGGUGCAGGGCCACCUGCUCCCAGAAGGCUGGGAACAUUGGACUCGGGCACCCCACUGGACAAGACACGAGCACAACAGAGCAUCUGUGUAGAAAAGGAGGUUCAGCUGCCCGCCCGAUGACAGCACGUCUGGACACACACACACCGUCACAUACACACACACCGUCACACACACCGUCACACACACGUACACACACACACACACACACCGUCAAACACACAUACAUACCCCAUCAUACACACAUACACACCAUCACAUACACAAGAGGCCAUCAGCAUUGCCCAGCAUGCCGCCAAACGGCUUCUGCAUCUGGCUGUUGCCGCCCGCUGGUUAUUGUUAAAUAAGAUGAGGGCCCCGUGGCCGCCGGUGUUCCUUUCUGCCCGCUCUCAAUGCGUCGCAGCUGCCCUAACAAGCACGUCUAUAUCGUCGGCAACUGCGGCAGCCCCGUGGAAACAGCCUCGUGUAACGAGUGUGGCGCACCGGUGGGCGGCAGGGACCACCUGCUUGGACACGGAAACCAGCUGGCAUACGAGAUUGUGGCGCAGGUUCAGGCACAGACAAGCGUAAGAUGAGCUCGUAUAAUCUACCGGAAAAUUUCUUGUUUCAUCACGAGGGCCUGUCUCACACAGCUUGGGUGAACGGGGGUAGGUCGGGAAUCGGCAUCUGAGGCGAUUGCGGCAGAUGCCUUCCUGGAGGUACCUGCGGGCUGCAGGCGCCCAAAUCCAGGCGUCUUCUCGGCUUUUUGGUGAGGCGUCGCAUUGCCCUAUUGUCCCGUCAUGUUGUAAUACAUAACUGCAGCCUCGACAAAACUUGUGUGCGUACGGGAGGCAAAUGAUGUGGCAGUAUGGAGAAGGCGGACGUUAUGAGGUUUGAAACUGUUUAUUUGGGCCUCUGUUGCUGUUCCUUGCGUUCGUUAUAUAAAGAAUCUUGUC